Molecule: long non-coding RNA, 1748 nt
Organism: Formica exsecta
Lineage: Eukaryota; Metazoa; Arthropoda; Insecta; Hymenoptera; Formicidae
Exons: 2
Source: RefSeq, a predicted model, not a curated record
AGCCACUGGCUUUCCUCCUCCGAUGAGGGCAUCACUGCCAGAAACCAUCUGGCGAAGCGGAUAAUAAGAUGAUGAAUAAGCGAACAUAUCUCGUCGAUUAUAUCCUCUGACGCAUCCUCUCUGUUUAUUUAUUGUUCGGCGAUAUAGAACAUCAUAAUGUAUUGCAGUUCUUCGAUUCGUGCAUCUUACGACGGACAUAGCGGUCUUACUUACCGUUGACCUUACUCAAAGUAACCGGAGAGCCGCUUUCGCGUGUACUUAUAUUUCGCAGCGGUAAUUCAACGUUUAUGAGCCCGCAUUGAAGCACGCGGAGGUCGCGCGUUCUACCAAGGCUGAUUAACUCCCGGAAUUAAUGCAAGACCUACUAGGGUAACGCGCGUAUUACACAUAGGCUCUCUUUCGCAUGUUCAUACAUACAUAACUCAUCGAUCUAUAUAUAUAGUAGCACAACUUUCCGUACAGAGCAUAUAUAUACACGAAAAUUUUGCAAUUAUUUAUAAAAAGUUUACAAAAGAGUUGCGGAAAAAGUAGACAUAGAGCUCGCAAAUUUAUGCGAGAACUAAUAGCACAGAGUUCUUAACACGUAACAUGACAUAUAAAAAAUUCCAAAAUAUUGCAUAUCAUUGAUAUUUCUUAACUUUUCAAUUUUUAUUAACGUUCCGUCGUGUUGUUGUUUAUAGUCGACUCUGUCAACUUUAUCUCAUUAUAAAAAGGUGCAAAUUUACGUCAAUAGUUCCCGACUGUUAAAGACAAGAAGAAACCACGUCAUCAAAUUACAAAAAAGAAAGAAGCGUUAAAAUUAUAUUCUUCGUUCCUGCGACGAGCGUUAAUCUUCCUGGAUAGAAAAAUGCGCACAGACGUUAACAUCGCGUGCGAUUCGAUUUCUGCGAUUUCCAUGUCAUAUAUCUCACAAUUAAUUACAUUUCUCAAACGCUCAACGUUGGCUUUUUAUUGUCGCGGGCGCGACCAUAUAUGUACGCGAUUUAUCGAUCCGAAACCGAUUACGCGGCUCCGUAGUCACUGUAUAUAUACAUUUUCUGAACACCAAAGUAUAUACAUAUAGAUACAUGGAUUUGAGGUGCGAGUGUGUAAAUGCCGUGUGUAUAUACACGUGCACAUGUCAACCUCGUAUCCGCUAAUGUCGCCGACAAUCACGUCCGCGUCGCGGACGCGUUUUCGCAGUCCUCUAUUUUCUCGUCGUUAGUUAUUUUUGAAACGCGACCGAAUACCUACAGUAGAGCGUCGACGACAGACAUUAGCGUUUUGUUUCAUACUUGCCUCUCUUUAUACGUGCGCGAGACACAUUGUAAGACAAAUAUAAUACAUUCGGAGAUCAAAUUGAAAAACACUUGCGAAACAUACUUCGGAGUCAGUUUUCCUUUAGAAGAAUUCUAUACAAAACUUUGUAUCUCUGAUUUAUCUUGAAGCGAGUCUAGAGAAAGAGAGAGACAGAGAGAUUACAUUUUAGACUUAUACUUACUUGCCAAGAGAUUUAACAUUGCAAAUUAGUCGCGACAAAUGACGGAUGAUAUUCUGCGAUAUUUUCGCUAAGGAAAUAUUGACUCCGAAUCGUGCCAGAAAUUUGUCCGGGGGAUGCUUGAUUACAACAAUUAUAUGAAUAUUUACACAAACAUGUCUGCCUUGAAGAUAAACAGCAGUUUUUCAAAAAUGUCAUGCUAAAAAAUAAUGUACCAAUUUAUAUCCGCGACAAAAUAAAUUUAUCACAAUGUCGAUGAGACAAGAAAAAU